Molecule: ribosomal RNA, 460 nt
Filed under: uncultured bacterium
Lineage: Bacteria
Description: partial 16S ribosomal RNA
Rfam family: Bacterial small subunit ribosomal RNA
Source: RNAcentral
CCUACGGGAGGCAGCAGUGGGGAAUAUUGGUCAAUGGACGAGAGUCUGAUCCAGCCAAGUAGCGUGAAGGAUGACUGCCCUAUGGGUUGUAAACUUCUUUUAUAUGGGAAUAAAAUGUUACACGUGUGGGAUUUUGUAUGUACCAUAUGAAUAAGGAUCGGCUAACUCCGUGCCAGCAGCCGCGGUAAUACGGAGGAUACGAGCGUUAUCCGGAUUUAUUGGGUUUAAAGGGAGCGUAGGUGGAUUGUUAAGUCAGUUGUGAAAGUGUGGGGCUCAACCGUAAAAUUGCAGUUGAAACUGGCAGUCUUGAGUAUAGUAGAGGUGGGAGGAAUUCGUGGUGUAGCGGUGAAAUGCUUAGAUAUGUCGAAGAACACCGAUGGCGAAGGCAGCUCACUGGACUGCAACUGACACUGAGGUGCGAAAGUGUGGGUAGCAAACAGGAUUAGAUACCUGUGUAGUC